GUAGGUACUCCAUUGUCUGACGGAUCUGAGAACGCUGUCUGGGCUUCGUGCCAAGGGCUGGUAUUCACACAGCAAGGACGGCCUCACAGAAGAGCUGUGGGAAGCAGGAGGGAGUGCCUCUCUUAGGGUGCCACUACUAUGGAGACACAGCUGGGCUGAACAAGAUUUCCUUCAAACGACAACAAGAGAGACAGAAAGUAUGUGAUUCAACCGCUGCCCAAGCAGGCAGGCAGGCACCAGAAGAGCUAGCAGCCAAUCCGGCCAUGCUCGAAGCCAGUCCUGCAGCUCAGCCAAUCAGUGACAUCAUUGGACAUCUCUUUAGAUUGCUCAUGAUGAUAUGAAGAUGAAACUUAAUAGCAAUAACCAAUGGAUGCUUUCCUUGGAGUCAGUUCAACACUGUGGAGAACAGAUCUUCAGGAAUGUUACUGGGAUAACUGUUCAAAUCAAAUCCCAUGCUCCUAUCAUGGGAAUCAUGAGGAAUCCAUUAAUGUAAAGCUGCUGCCAGAGUUUCACGUGGAGGCAGAAUGUUCUAGAUGAUCCCUGUCUCUUCUCCACUGAGGAAGUAGUUUGUUGCCUUCCUGUAAGCUCGGUUAAUCACACCAGAAUAGGGCUCCUGUCUUACUGAGCAGUAUACACUAUGGAGAGAUCCUUCAAAAUCCGUUGGGAGGAAGAACAGAUGAAUUCAUAAAACUGUUCAUCUCUGUUAUCCUGAAUGGUCACUCAGACAACAUUUUACUAAACUAUCAAGGGGAACACUUAAAGUGCCUGCGAGACGGGAAGAGAAUGACUACAGGAGAAAAUCAUCCCAGGUAAAAUGAAAAGGCACAAAUAUAGAGUGUGAUUAAUCUAGAAUAUUGAAGAUGAAAUGAUUAUGUCUGUGCUUGGUAUAAGAAAUCGCCCUUCCCUUUAUGAAGCUACCUAUUGGGAUUUUCACUGAUGGUUUUCCUUCAAGAGUUUUUAGUAUUACUUGCCUUUGUCAACCUUUUGUUUGGUUUUGUGAUCAGCGCCCAGUGUCCAUCAUUCUGAGGACAUAUGUGUAUGUUGAUUUAUACAAUUCAGGUGCAGGAUGGUUGAAUAGGAAGGAAUUUAAUGAAAAGGAAAAUAUGUUCUCAGUGGUUCUACCAUAUAAAAGGAAGUAAAAUCUGAGAGAAAAGUAUAAACUCAUAGUUUUUUAUCUUUUUCAUAUAUCUUGUAAGACAAUAAAGUCAAAGUAUAUUUUUUAAUAAUAAAAGCUACAGCCAGUGUUUUCUCUUUUUUUUUUACACAUGAAAUGUAUAAAUAUAUAAGGAAAUACUUUUACUACAAUUGGAUGCAUAAUUGUUGAUUAUUUACUACAGUUUUAAUAAGUAGGAGAAUGAUUUCAAAGUAAAUAAUAGUGAAAAUUUGUGUAGGCCAAAUUAUCUGUAUUAAACUCUAGAAAAUACAUUCUAUUUUUAUUUAUUUCAAAACAUGCCAAAUCAUGAAGUAAUUACUAUGCAGUAUUAUUUUUCACAAUGAAGAUAUAAUUAAGAAAAGCUAAAUCAUUUUAGAUAUGAGUGCAAUGAUUAACGAUUGUACAACUUAUAAUUUUGCUUCAGAUGAGCUCAGAAUCCUAAAAAAGUACAUGUAACUGGCUUUAUGUGUGCUCACUGGCUUGCUUUCUUACAGUGUAGUAGCUUACAGAAUUAAGAAUCAUUUAUUUCAUUUCAACCUGUUGAACAGAGGAAUUAUAUGUGACCGAAUAUUUUGUUGAAAGGAUAUAGUUCUUGGGAAACAGAUUUAAGUGUGUUUUGUUGAAAGGGGAUGUAUGCUCUUUGGUGUGAUAUGAGCAAAUACAAAUAGUCCAGAAUAGCAGGAAAAAACACUGAUCAUGUUAUUGAUUUUAGGGUUUAUUGACACCAUAUCUUUUCCUCAAUGCUGUAAAAGUUCAACUUCAUCCCAACUGUAGAUGUCUGCAUUUAGAAUUUUGGAUUUUGUGUUCUUUCCCUAGUCAACAAGACCUCACUUGUUUUGCAAAAGCUAUAAUGUGACUAAAUCUCAAAAAUCAUUAACUGAGUUUUAUGUGAAUAAAUAUAAUCCCUCUAGUGCAUAUACAAUUUUAUAAUUUCCUUUUUAGUUGUAGACUUAUCAUACUAUAUCUGUGCCUCAGAACAGUAUAAUUCAUAUAUGCAUAUAUUAGGUUCUCAAUUAGAACAGUUUAACAACAAUGCUAAAAUAUCCACAAUGAAAAACAAAAGCAAUCUUUAAAAAAGAAAAAAACAAAAAGAAAAGAAAAGAAAGA
This 2260-nucleotide long non-coding RNA is filed under the name Mus pahari (shrew mouse). Its description in RNAcentral is "lncRNA (MGP_PahariEiJ_G0012080.1)". The record is from RNAcentral. Lineage: Eukaryota; Metazoa; Chordata; Mammalia; Rodentia; Muridae.